RNAcentral lists this ribosomal RNA (402 nucleotides) under uncultured bacterium. RNAcentral's name for it is "bacterial SSU rRNA". It matches the Rfam family "Bacterial small subunit ribosomal RNA", at positions 355 to 774 of the family's 1533-position model. The record is from RNAcentral.
UGGGGAAUAUUGCACAAUGGGCGAAAGCCUGAUGCAGCGACGCCGCGUGAGUGAUGAAGGCCUUCGGGUUGUAAAGCUCUGUCUUCUGGGACGAUAAUGACGGUACCAGAGGAGGAAGCCCCGGCUAACUACGUGCCAGCAGCCGCGGUAAUACGUAGGGGGCAAGCGUUGUCCGGAUUUACUGGGUGUAAAGGGUGCUCAGGCGGAUUUGUAAGUCAGAGGUGAAAUCUUACAGCUUAACUGUGAAACUGCCUUUGAUACUGCAAGCCUAGAGUAUGGAAGAGAGUGAUGGAAUAUCUGGUGUUGCAGUGAAAUGCGUAGAUAUCAGAUAGAACACCAAUGGCGAAGGCAGUCACUUGGUCCAUUACUGACGCUAAAGCACGAAAGCGUGGGUAGCAAACA